This 2867-nucleotide small RNA is filed under the name Pan troglodytes (chimpanzee). RNAcentral's name for it is "retained intron". The record is from RNAcentral. Lineage: Eukaryota; Metazoa; Chordata; Mammalia; Primates; Hominidae.
GCUGGGGCUCGGCUCCGGGGCUGGCGGUCGGACAGUCUCUGGCACGCUCAGUCCGGGCUUGGGGCCCCGCGGCGGAGAAGGAGGUGGAGGGGGCGGCGGCGGCGGUGGUGGCGGCACCAUGUUUUUUCACUCAGUCAAUCUCUGGAACCUGGCGUUUUAUGUCUUCAUGGUCUUUCUGGCAACCCUGGGGCUGUGGGAUGUCUUCUUCGGCUUCGAGGAGAAUAAGUGCAGUAUGAGCUACAUGUUUGAGUACCCGGAGUAUCAGAGUUCAGCAGUGCCUAAGACCUGGGUCUCAACAGACCACCUCUCCAUUGUGUGGUGUAAACAAUUGCAGUUGACUACAGUUCGAGCAUUCUUUGAUCUUAUUGAUGCUGAUACUAAACAAAUAACUCAAAAUUCCAAGAAGAAACUGUCAGUUUUGAAUCACCACUUUAUAAGACACCCAUCAAAACAUUUUGAGGAAAAUCCAGCUAUAAUUUCUGACUUAACAGGGACAUCUAUGUGGGUUCCAGUAAAAGUGUCCAAAUGGACCUAUGUAGCUUACAAUGAAUCUGAGAAGAUAUAUUUUACAUUUCCUCUUGAAAAUCAUAGAAAAAUCUACACUCAUGUCUAUUGUCAGAGCACUAUGCUGGAUACAAAUAGUUGGAUUUUUGCUUGCAUAAACAGCACUUCUAUGUGCCUGCAAGGGGUUGAUUUAUCAUGGAAAGCUGAACUGCUGCCAACAAUUAAGUAUCUGACCUUAAGACUUCAAGACUAUCCAUCUUUGUCUCACCUUGUUGUUUAUGUACCAUCUGUUCAUGGAAGUAAGUUUGUUGUAGAUUGUGAAUUCUUUAAAAAAGAGAAAAGAUACGUACAGCUUCCUGUAACUCAUCUUUUUUCCUUUGGAUUGUCUUCAAGGAAAGUGGUGUUAAAUACAAAUGGCCUAUACUACAAUCUAGAGCUUCUGAACUUUGGACAGAUAUACCAAGCUUUUAAAAUCAACGUGGUAAGCAAGUGCUCAGCAGUCAAAGAAGAAAUAACCAAUAUCUAUAGACUUCAUAUUCCUUGGUCUUAUGAAGAUUCACUAACCAUUGCACAGGCUCCAUCUUCCACAGAAAUUUCUCUGAAACUCCAUAUUGCUCAACCAGAAAACGAUACCCAUGUGGCAUUAUUUAAAAUGUACACGUCAUCAGACUGUCGGUACGAGGUGACAGUUAAGACUUCCUUUUCACAAAUACUUGGACAGGUAGUUAGAUUUCAUGGUGGAGCUCUUCCUGCUUAUGUCGUAUCUAAUAUCCUUCUUGCUUAUAGAGGACAGUUAUAUUCUCUUUUCUCAACAGGUUGUUGCUUAGAAUAUGCUGCCAUGUUGGAUAAAGAAGCCAAACCAUACAAAGUUGAUCCUUUUGUAAUUAUCAUUAAGUUUCUGUUGGGGUAAGUUUUAUUAUCUGUGAUAAUGAUUUUAAUUGUGUUUUACAUGUAACAUUAUAUUUGGUUCCAUAAUGCAAUAUAAAUUUUCAUACAGAUUUGGCAGUUGACUUGUUUUGUUAAACGGGGUUUUUUUUUUUCUCUUAGGCAAAGGUCUAAUAAGUAUAUCAAUGUCUACUUCAAUAGUAUCAUUUCAAAAGUAAUUAUUCACUUUAUGUAUAUCAGUCUAAACUUAGACUGCCUUUAAUGUUUGUAAAUAGGUGUAUAUGGUCCAUGAUCUGUGAGUAUCCUAGAUUCAAAUGCAAAUCAUUACAGGGUAUUGAUGAAACAGUGCCUCUCUGAUCACUUUUAAAAGUAUAUUUUAGACCUCUCUACCCUAGUUAACAUUCCAUUCUUAAUGUAGUCACAUUUUCAGAUUUUUGGUUAAGUAUCAAUAUGUAGAUCUUUUUUUCCAUCGUUACAACUAACUUGGCUUUCUAAAAAAAAAAAAAAAGAACAUAUUACUUUCUACUAGGAUCAAUAUAGAUUAGUAAAGCUAUACUGAAAUGCAGAUCUUCAAAGAUCAGUAGGCUCACUUGGAAAAUAAAUGACUUAUUCCAUACAAAGAAUUAAAAAUUUGUUUUUCAGUAUAAUUAUAAAUUAAGUAUCAUGGAACUUUAGAGACUCUCUUGAAUAGUCAGACACCUCAAAUAUUAAGUCCUUAAAUUUCAGUUGUUGGGUUUUUUGCUUUUAUAUUUUCUUUUCUCCACAGGUAUAAAUGGUUUAAAGAAUUGUGGGAUGUAUUAUUGUUACCAGAAUUAGAUGCCGUCAUUUUAACUAGUCAGAGUAUGUGUUUCCCCCUGAUAUCCUUGAUUCUCUUUCUGUUUGGAACGUGUACUGCCUACUGGAGUGGCUUACUGUCUUCUGCAUCUGUGAGACUUCUUUCUUCAUUGUGGCUAGCUUUGAAAAGACCCUCUGAACUUCCUAAAGAUAUCAAGAUGAUAUCACCAGACUUGCCCUUUUUGACAAUUGUCUUGAUCAUAGUUAGUUGGACAACUUGUGGAGCACUAGCCAUACUUCUUUCUUAUCUUUACUAUGUGUUUAAGGUUGUUCAUCUGCAAGCCAGCUUAACAACUUUUAAGAAUAGCCAGCCUGUGAAUCCCAAACACUCUAGAAGAAGUGAAAAGAAAUCCAAUCAUCAUAAAGACUCCUCAAUACACCAUCUUCGUUUAUCUGCUAACGAUGCUGAAGAUAGCCUUCGCAUGCACAGUACUGUGAUUAACUUACUAACAUGGAUUGUAUUACUCAGCAUGCCUUCUCUAAUUUAUUGGCUAAAGAAUCUUAGGUAUUAUUUUAAACUUAAUCCUGAUCCAUGUAAACCUUUGGCAUUUAUCCUUAUUCCGACUAUGGCAAUUCUUGGAAAUACUUACACUGUUUCAAUAAAAUCAAGUAAAUUGUUGAAGACUACUUCACAAUUUCCACUU